GAUGAACGCUGGCGGCGUGCCUAAUACAUGCAAGUCGAGCGAACGGACGAGAAGCUUGCUUCUCUGAUGUUAGCGGCGGACGGGUGAGUAACACGUGGAUAACCUACCUAUAAGACUGGGAUAACUUCGGGAAACCGGAGCUAAUACCGGAUGAUAUUUUGAACCGCAUGGUUCAAAAGUGAAAGACGGUCUUGCUGUCACUUAUAGAUGGAUCCGCGCUGCAUUAGCUAGUUGGUAAGGUAACGGCUUACCAAGGCAACGAUGCAUAGCCGACCUGAGAGGGGGAUCGCCCCACAGAGAAAUAGAAACGGGGCAAGCCCCCGAGGGGGGGAAGAAGAAGGAAUCCUCCCGCAAGGGCGGAAAGCCGGACGGACAACCGCGGGGGGGUGAAUAAAGUUUUUGGAAUCAAAAAACUUUUUUAUGAGGGAAAAAAAUAUGGGAAAGUAACUGUGCACAUCUUGAGGAACCCUAAUAAGAAGACCAGGACUACCUAGGGC
Molecule: ribosomal RNA, 497 nt
Filed under: uncultured bacterium
Lineage: Bacteria
Description: partial 16S ribosomal RNA
Rfam family: Bacterial small subunit ribosomal RNA
Source: RNAcentral